AAUAUUCUGUGAUAAGCGUCGAUUUUAUUGUACAUUCUCUUAUCAUUCUUAUCUCAGAGUGUUCGUACACGCUCUGUACACAAAGUGCUCACAUGGAAGUAAGAAAGUUUUCGGUUAAUUGUGUAAAUUCUGUGGUUGGAAGCUUAAGUGGAAAUCUUUGGCAUUCAAAUGUCGCGGCAAGCCGAAGUUGAACGAAGACGACCGAAUACGCCCGAGGUGCGCUUUUGAAAUCCAGUCGGCCACCUCCUCGUCAGUCUGUGUUCCUGCUCCAGAUGGGCCGCUAGCGACCGCCGUUGCUACCGCGGCGUCGCGGUUUAGCGCUUGCGUUUCCGAUUCUUGGGCGGAAGGCGGCGGCGGUCCCGUUGCGGCGGUUUACGCGAGGGUUCACGCCGCAACGGCGAGGUGCCUCGUUUGCAUGGAGAAGCAUCGAGGGAAGGCCCAGGGUUUGAUGGCGCGUCGCGGCCUGGCGACAUCGAGCGAGCGCCCAGCGGCCGAGAGGCGCAUUCCCUCCAACAUGGCAAGGUUUAACGACGUCGUCGGACCAGGGAACGACCCCCGACUACGAGGGAAGAGCUCACCUGCAACCUGCUCUCCUGCUCCUCGCUCUCGAAUAAUGUAAAUUCACGGCAUCUUGCCGAGGGAAUUAUUCAGCCCGGGCUGAGUCAGGAUUUUUGGACGCCUCACGGGAAGAGCCAGCCGAGCGUCCUCGGAUGUGAAACCAGCAGUCGCCGAUUAAUUUCUACCUGGACAUACCGGUUGAGAGCCUGUCUUCGGCAAACUCUCAAGGAUUGGCAAGAAGGUAAUUACGACAUGCUACCGUACUCGCAGUUUCUCAUCUCGAGGCAGUAUUUCAAGACGGCGAAGGCAGGAAAAGCUUCCCUCGCAGCUGGAGGAUAAAUAAAACCAUUGUGGCGUGCAUUAGUACGAGCUUGGCCGCGAGAUUAUCUCCAAGUGCAUCCUAGGAUUUUUUGUCAUCCCGGGAAUGAUGUUACGAUACCAAGCGAUGACUUUGGGAGAUUGUCAAGAACGAAUUGUGAUGCUGGAGUUCACCGCUAUUCGGGUAUUUUUUUUUGUCCGGGAGAGAAACGCGACUUCUGUGGGUUCCUGGUCCCCUGACUACGAGAUCUCUAACGGCUAGGUCGGGGCUGCAACUAUCGAUUUCCGGAAAGCGCACCUGCUCCGACAUUAUGCUCUCUUAGGAGGAGUGCCAGGUAUUUAGCGACAGCGAAGAGAUUGAUUGGUCCGACGACGUAAGAGUAGCGAGUGCGUAAACGUCGCUGAUGGACGAUAAAGCAAAUUACAC
Long non-coding RNA from Orussus abietinus, 1303 nucleotides. RefSeq lists it as uncharacterized. The transcript has 4 exons. The record is from RefSeq and is a predicted model, not a curated record. Lineage: Eukaryota; Metazoa; Arthropoda; Insecta; Hymenoptera; Orussidae.